Long non-coding RNA from Cyprinus carpio carpio, 2164 nucleotides. NCBI's taxonomy places the organism in Eukaryota, Metazoa, Chordata, Actinopteri, Cypriniformes, Cyprinidae. The record is from Ensembl.
CACACACACACGCACACACACACACACACACACACCAGCUACACCAGAACUAAAACCUGCUUUAACCCUUGUGCAUCAAUUUAAAUUGUAGCUGCAAGCAGAAAUUAUAGUGGUUCAAUCUCUUUAAGGCCUUUAAAGCAAUGCCUAAAAAAGUAUUCUGUUUUCUUUUGCAAGCAUGUAAACACAUCAAAGAGAGAAAAGAUUAUUUACAGCCAACACAAGCAAUUUGCAAAGGAAAUGUAUGUGUUUUAAUGCUUUUUAACAGUUAAUGAGGUUGAGCAAGUUUGGUCUGCCUGAUCACUUUUAGGUAAGACUGCUGAUCCUUGGCAAUUUGAACAAUUACAGGGUUUCAACACAAUUUCUAAAACAUUAACCCAAAAAGUGCUAGAAAGACAAAGUCAUAAAUCUAAAGUUGUGUUCCAAAUUUGAGGUUGGUAUCUCAAAAAAGAUGACACCAUGUUGUGAAAAUUUAUAUAGCACAUUUAAAUCAACCAUGGUUGACCAAAGUGCUUAACAAUGUCCGGGAAAAAUAAAAUAAAUAAAUAAAAUACAUAAAUAAGAAGUCACACACAAACAAGACAAAUACAAUAAAAGUCAGAAAGGUAAAAACAGAAACACUAAGACCUCAAGGAUGCACAGGGGUAUAAGCUUGACUUUUUUUUCUUUCUUCUGAGUGUGUUUAUUAUGCCUGUAAAUGGAUGCACAUGAUACAAGCUAUGUUAAAUACUCUUGCAUUAAACCUUGCAAAAAUACUAAUGUGAUGUUUGUCUGGAGGGAUGUUACAAUGACUGUUUUAAGUCUUCAAACAUUUGGUAGAUAUUUCUUUAUAUUCAUCAAACUAAACAUCUGUGAUAUUUAUUUGGUGCUGAAUAGUAUUUUAUUUGUUUGCGUGCUUGUUUUUUGUGCAUGUGAGAUAAAUGACAUGACAGCUCUUCAUCUAGUCUCUUUUUCAGUUCUGUUGUGUUCAGCUGUGAUUAUCAAGUUUAUUUGUUUGUUUGUUUUGUUUUUAUAUUUUGCUGAUGUAUUUGUCUUGUAGAAUAUUAUCACAGUUUGAUGGAGAUGAUUGCCUUUACAUAAUUAUCAGUUCAGCCAUUCUUCUUCAGCUUUAGACAGAUUUAUUGGUUCUUUCUUUUGGUAGCAUUCUUGUUUUUUUAUUUGUCUUUCAUGUGGUGUUGCUCAUUUUCUUUCAUUUUCUACUAAAUUUACAUCAGUUGAGGGAAAAAGUGCCUUGAAGCAAAACCCACAAGACAAUCUUUUCUGAAACACAAAACAUCAUGUACAGUAUGUAUUUUUCUGUUUUUGUAUGUUUAUGUGAUAAACAUUAUUAAAAACAUGAUCAGCUCUGUGGAAGAUUAUCUUUAUUUAAAAUACAUUAUAAAUUUCCUUUUGAAUACUAAAUGACUCUAACACUUACGCCAAAGUUACUGCGUGUUGAAUAAGAGGAAACAAAACAAGACAGUUGUCCAAAAACAUAUAAAUAUAUAAACCUCAUGAUUUGAGUAACAAGCUGAAGUAAUCAAGAAACCCAGAUUUGCUUUGAGCUAGUAACAGAUGAUUUGCUGAAUUAUCACACAUGAAGAACCAAUCAUAUUAGACAUGAAAUAUGUGAUUGAUCAUGUCACCUUUGUCAAGCACUUAUGCUGUAUAAACUGUUGUACUCUUUUUGUUGGGGGGAUUUUCUCUGAAACUGGUCUAAGAUACUUCUGGCCAUGAUUAAAUCAUUUGAAAGCCAUUGUCUGGAGUCUGUCUGGUUAUUGGUUAUCUUCCCUUGUUUCUAAACCUGUUGUCCAACAAAAGAGAACAUUAUUGCAUGUUUUUACUUAACAAAAGUAGAAUUUUAGAAAUAACUCCCUUCUGUAAUCUGAUGUGGCUUCUUACCAUAGAAUGAUGCAGAAAUAUACAUUCUAUACUGCAAAAAGUGCAAUGGAUUAUAAAUUAACUACUUAAUGAUUAAAAAAAAAAAUACCCAAGUUGGUUUUAAUAACACAGAUGAAUUAUAUUGUCAUAGUUGAGUGUUUAUUGUCUUGAUGUUUCAUCAUUCAAAACGUUUCAAUUAUCUUUUUACUCCGUUACAGCAAUAGCUGGAUGCAUUUGUCCAUAUUAUGGGUUUCCUGGAGUGCCAUUUCUAUUACUUUCGAUAACCAUGCAUAUGAGGGUUUUCAGU